Molecule: long non-coding RNA, 240 nt
Filed under: Medicago truncatula (barrel medic)
Lineage: Eukaryota; Viridiplantae; Streptophyta; Magnoliopsida; Fabales; Fabaceae
Description: lncRNA gene9807
Source: RNAcentral
UAUGUUGCAAAUUUUGUUUUUGCCCAAACUUUAUAAUCCUGGCUCCACAAGCAAAAGGGUGCGAUAUCAAGAGUGCUUUCGAACAUCAGGGUUGGUUGUCUUAUUUUGAAAUGUUCAAUGAUCAUGCGUAUACAAAUCUAGUAUACUUCUGGGUAAUGACUGAAGUUGUUGAUUUUUAUGAAGCCGGUAGGGAAUUAAAGCUCAAGUAGAAAGAGUCUAAAGCUAACAAAGGGAAAAGUC